This is a long non-coding RNA of Homo sapiens (human), 671 nucleotides long. Lineage: Eukaryota; Metazoa; Chordata; Mammalia; Primates; Hominidae. The record is from Ensembl.
CAGGAAGAUGUAAAACAAGAAUUACAACAAUUACGAGAUCAAGAAAGCAAAAAAAACAAAGAUCAUUUUGAAACUCUAAAGAACUUAGAAAAUGGAUUCUAUAUAAAUGACCAAAAAGCAGAUCUUCUGCUCCUGGAAAAUAAAAAAUUAAAAGAAUAUAUUUUAUACUUGAAGAAUAACAUAGAGAAAUACAGAGAAGGACAAGAAGCCCUCAUGCACACCUCAAGCGACUUGUCUCGGCAACUAAUAGCUCAGGAGGCACAAUAUAAGGAUUUGUGGGCUGAAUUUCAGACCACAGUUAAGAUCUUGGUGGACAAUGGUGAAGAGACCUUGCAAGACAUAAACAAUCUAACAGACAAGCUGCGUGAAAGAGAUGAAAAAAUGCAGCAUGUCAGUACAUGGCUACGAGGGAGUCUUGAAGGGCUGCGUUUGCUUGUGGAACAGGAAUCACCAAUGGACCUUCUUAAGAAGAAGAAACACAUUCGUACAAGGGUUCAUUUCCCAGUGGUUAAAUGUACUGAGAAAAAUACAUUAACAAAGUAACUCAAGGAUACAACUGCUGUGAAUUCAAAAGACAGACUACUACAGGAAAAAUCUCAUGGUGGAUGUUCCUGGACAUGGAAAGGUGAUGGUGGACAUUGCAUAUGGCGGUGCAUUUUAUGCAUUUGUUA